RNAcentral lists this ribosomal RNA (585 nucleotides) under Fazia strigifacies. RNAcentral describes it as "eukaryotic LSU rRNA". The record is from RNAcentral. Lineage: Eukaryota; Metazoa; Arthropoda; Insecta; Diptera; Syrphidae.
AGUACGUGAAACUGCUUAGAGGUUAAGCCCGAUGAACCUGAAUAUCCAUUAUGGAAAAUUCAAUAUUAAGAAUAUAAUAUAAAUAAUAUUAUAAAAAUAGUAUGCAAUUUUUCCAUAUAAGGACAUUGUAAUCUGUUAAUGUUAUAAAUAUUUAUCAAAAGAUCUAAUACUUAAGUUUAUUUAAAUUGUUUAUUUUCGGAUAUUCAACAUAAAAUAAAUGUGUUAGAUUGGAUAAAUCAUUGACAGAUCGAAUUAUAUAUUGUGCAUAAAUUCUUCGGAAUUUUUCAGUAGUAAAUAGAUCUAUUGAUUUGUUUAUUGAUUGCAUGCAUAAUUAUGAUUGACAAUGCGAUAGAUUCAGGAUACCUUCGGGACCCGUCUUGAAACACGGACCAAGGAGUCUAACAUAUGUGCAAGUCAUUGGGUAUUUUUAAUAAAACCCAAUGGCAUAAUUAACUUAACUGUUAUUUAUAAUGAGAUUAAUUUAUAUUUUGUUAUGAUUUAUUUAUUCAAUCUCGGGGCGUUCUAUACAGUUAUGCAUAAUAAUAUUUAUAUUAUUUAUGCCUCUAACUAGAGCGUACCUUGAGC